Molecule: ribosomal RNA, 253 nt
Filed under: uncultured bacterium
Lineage: Bacteria
Description: partial 16S ribosomal RNA
Rfam family: Bacterial small subunit ribosomal RNA
Source: RNAcentral
UACAGAGGUCCCAAGCGUUGUUCGGAUUCAUUGGGCGUAAAGGGUGCGUAGGUGGCAGGGUAAGUCGGAUGUGAAAUCCCGGGGCUCAACCCCGGAACUGCAUUCAAUACUGCCCUGCUAGAGUACUGGAGAGGAGAGUGGAAUUCAUGGUGUAGCGGUGAAAUGCGUAGAUAUCAUGAGGAAGACCAGUGGCGAAGGCGGAUCUCUGGACAGUUACUGACACUGAGGCACGAAGGCCGGGGGAGCAAACGGG